Molecule: ribosomal RNA, 430 nt
Filed under: Kumbadjena kaata
Lineage: Eukaryota; Metazoa; Onychophora; Udeonychophora; Euonychophora; Peripatopsidae
Description: partial 12S ribosomal RNA
Source: RNAcentral
AAAUAUAUAUGCAUAUGAAGGGGUGAAAUCUUUUAAUUGUAAUAUUAUAUAAUUUAUUUUCCAUAUCAUCAAGAAAGAAACUAGGAUUAGAUACCCUAUUAUUCUUGAAAUUUAUAGUCUGAAGUAGUAAAGUUGAAACUUAAAAAUUUUGGCAGUAUUUAAUUUUCUAGAGAAAUAUGUAAUUUAAUCGAAAAUACACGAAAAUCUUACUUGUUUUAUUUUUGUAUAUCUCCGUUGACAGAUUUUUAUAAAUGAAAAUAAUUUUCUGAUAAUAAAAUAUUUAACAUCAGGUCAAGGUGCAAAAUAAAUAAGUUAUUAUGUAUUACAAUCAAAUUUAUUGAAAUGGAUAAAUAAUUGAAAAUAUUAUUUUAAAAAUGAAUUUAUAAGUAAAAUAAAAAAAUAAUUUUAUUUGAAAUAUUAUUAAAUAUGU